GACGAACGCUGGCGGCGUGCCUAACACAUGCAAGUCGAGCGGGGUUGAAGCGAGAGGUAACUCGAACUUCUACCUAGCGGCGGACGGGUGAGUAACGCGUGGGCAACCUGCCUCAAGGUCUGGGAUAACAGCCCGAAAGGGCUGCUAAUACUGGGUAUGCUUGUGGCCUCGCAUGGGGCUAUGAGCAAAGGGGAAACCCGCCUUGAGAUGGGCCCGCGUCCCAUCAGCUAGUUGGUGAGGUAACAGCUCACCAAGGCGACGACGGGUAGCCGGCCUGAGAGGGUGACCGGCCACACUGGGACUGAGACACGGCCCAGACUCCUACGGGGGGCAGCAGUGGGGGAUCUUGCACAAUGGGCGAAAGCCUGAUGCAGCGACGCCGCGUGAGCGAAGAAGGCCUUCGGUUGUAAGACUCUGUCUGAGGGACGAAGGAAGUGACGGUACUCCGGAGGAAGCCACGGCUAACUACGUGCCAGCAGCCGCCGGUAAGAUCACGU
This 497-nucleotide ribosomal RNA is filed under the name uncultured bacterium. Its description in RNAcentral is "bacterial SSU rRNA". It matches the Rfam family "Bacterial small subunit ribosomal RNA", at positions 28 to 528 of the family's 1533-position model. The record is from RNAcentral.